Molecule: unclassified non-coding RNA, 391 nt
Filed under: soil metagenome
Description: partial contains 5.8S ribosomal RNA, internal transcribed spacer 2, and large subunit ribosomal RNA
Rfam family: 5.8S ribosomal RNA (bases 1-122)
Source: RNAcentral
GAUGAAGAACGCAGCGAAAUGCGAUACUUGGUGUGAAUUGCAGAAUCCCGUGAACCAUCGAGUCUUUGAACGCAAGUUGCGCCCGAAGCCAUUAGGCCGAGGGAACGCCUGCCUGGGCGUCACACGUCGUUGCCCCCCCAUCUACUCCUUCGGGAUUGCGGGGGGCGGAUGAUGGCCUCUCGUGCGCCUCGUCGCGCGGUUGGCCUAAAUGCCAAGUCCUCGGCGACGCACGCCACGACAAUCGGUGGUUGCGAAACCUCGGUUGCCUGUCGUGUGCGGUCGUCGCGCAUCGAGGGCUCGAAAAAAUUGCCGGGCUUCGGCUCGACUUUCAACGCGACCCCAGGUCAGGCGGGGUUACCCGCUGAAUUUAAGCAUAUCAAUAAGCGGAGGA